This 253-nucleotide ribosomal RNA is filed under the name uncultured bacterium. RNAcentral's name for it is "partial 16S ribosomal RNA". It matches the Rfam family "Bacterial small subunit ribosomal RNA", at positions 524 to 776 of the family's 1533-position model. The record is from RNAcentral.
UACGUAGGUGGCAAGCGUUGUCCGGAUUUACUGGGCGUAAAGGAUGCGUAGGCGGACAUUUAAGUCAGAUGUGAAAUACCCGAGCUUAACUUGGGUGCUGCAUUUGAAACUGGGUGUCUAGAGUGCAGGAGAGGUAAGUGGAGUUCCUAGUGUAGCGGUGAAAUGCGUAGAGAUUAGGAAGAACACCAGUGGCGAAGGCGACUUACUGGACUGUAACUGACGCUGAGGCAUGAAAGCGUGGGGAGCAAACAGG